Plectropomus leopardus (leopard coralgrouper) is the source of this 263-nucleotide non-coding RNA. The record is from RefSeq and is a predicted model, not a curated record. NCBI's taxonomy places the organism in Eukaryota, Metazoa, Chordata, Actinopteri, Perciformes, Serranidae.
UCUGUACCGCGUUAGAGCGGAGAGGAAAGAAGUGGACAGAGCCGCAGCUCCUGAAAUCUCCGGUAAAUCCAUGCCGUACGAGUUUGACAUCAGAGUCCCCUUCUUCAUCAGAGGACCCAACGUGGAGCAAGGCAGCAUUAACCAUCACAUCGUUCUGAACAUCGAUCUGGCUCCGACCAUCCUGGACAUCGCCGGCCUCGACACUCCACCAGACAUGGACGGGAAGUCGAUUCUGUCUCUGCUGGACACUGACAAACCUGCUA